AGCACUUCGGUGGCUGACGAGUGGCGCACGGGUGCGUAACGCGUAUGCAAUCUACCUUUUACAGUGGGAUAGCCCAGAGAAAUUUGGAUUAAUACCGCAUAGUAUAUAGAAUUGGCAUCGAUUUUAUAUUAAACAUUUAUGGGUAAAAGAUGAGCAUGCGUUCUAUUAGCUAGAUGGAGUGGUAACGGCACCCCAUGGCGACGAUAGAUAGGGGCCCUGAGAGGGGGAUCCCCCACACUGGUACUGAGACACGGACCAGACUCCUACGGGAGGCAGCAGUGAGGAAUAUUGGACAAUGGGCGCAAGCCUGAUCCAGCCAUGCCGCGUGCAGGAAGACUGCCCUAUGGGUUGUAAACUGCUUUUAUACGGGAAGAAACACCCCCUCGUGAGGGGGCUUGACGGUACCGUAAGAAUAAGGAUCGGCUAACUCCGUGCCAGCAGCCGCGGUAAUACGGAGGAUCCAAGCGUUAUCCGGAAUCAUUGGGUUUAAAGGGUCCGUA
This 500-nucleotide ribosomal RNA is filed under the name uncultured Gaetbulibacter sp. Its description in RNAcentral is "bacterial SSU rRNA". It matches the Rfam family "Bacterial small subunit ribosomal RNA", at positions 74 to 573 of the family's 1533-position model. Lineage: Bacteria; Pseudomonadati; Bacteroidota; Flavobacteriia; Flavobacteriales; Flavobacteriaceae. The record is from RNAcentral.